Molecule: non-coding RNA, 175 nt
Organism: Caenorhabditis remanei
Lineage: Eukaryota; Metazoa; Nematoda; Chromadorea; Rhabditida; Rhabditidae
Source: Rfam
UGCAUCGGUCCGAUGUUAAUGGGUUAUCAAUUCUUCACUGUCUCUUCUGCUUGCAGAAGAAACCCCGGUUCUCUUGUGGAACGAAAAAACGUUGUCUGUCAGAAUUUCGUUCUGCCAAACAACACUCGCAUCCGUGCGAAACCCCCCUUCCCAUCAACACAACCUUGACCGUUGU